ACGCACGCUGGCGGCGUGCUUCACACCUGCAAGUCGAACGGUGAAGCGCCUUCCUUUUUGGUGGGUGUGGAUGAGUGGCGAACGGGUGAGUAACACGUGAGUAACCUGCCCCCUUCUUCUGGAUAACCGCAUGAAAGUGUGGCUAAUACGGGAUAUUCUGGGUCUGUCGCAUGAUGGGUCUGGGAAAGAUAUUGUUUCGGUGGGGGAUGGGCUCGCGGCCUAUCAGCUUGUUGGUGGGGUGAUGGCCUACCAAGGCGGUGACGGGUAGCCGGCCUGAGAGGGUGGACGGUCACACUGGGACUGAGACACGGCCCAGACUCCUACGGGAGGCAGCAGUGGGGAAUAUUGCACAAUGGGCGCAAGCCUGAUGCAGCGACGCCGCGUGAGGGAUGGAGGCCUUCGGGUUGUGAACCUCUUUCGCCAGUGAAGCAGGCCUGCCUCGUUUGUGGGUGGGUUGACGGUAGCUGGAUAAGAAGCGCCGGCUAACUACGUG
This 493-nucleotide ribosomal RNA is filed under the name uncultured bacterium. RNAcentral describes it as "partial 16S ribosomal RNA". It matches the Rfam family "Bacterial small subunit ribosomal RNA", at positions 29 to 507 of the family's 1533-position model. The record is from RNAcentral.